This 4782-nucleotide long non-coding RNA is filed under the name Homo sapiens (human). RNAcentral's name for it is "HSALNT0127744". The record is from RNAcentral. Lineage: Eukaryota; Metazoa; Chordata; Mammalia; Primates; Hominidae.
CUGAUAAAGAUUACACAGUAUCCAGAGGAGGAAGUGCUUUCUCUAAAAGAGAGGGAGAGAUGAAUAACUAGGGAAGCAAAGAGUUCUGUAAGAAAAAUCAAAGACUGGGUGGGUAGAGUCGGAACUAGAGGAAGAAUUUAGGCAAGAGGAAAACUCAAGGACAAAUAGAGGGUUUAACUGUUCAGGCUUGCAGGCGCCAUCUGAAAUUGCAAAAGAAAGGAAAAAUUGAGCCUGAGAUAUGAUUAGGACAGUCAUAUUGUGUAUGUUGAACAAAAUAUAAUGGAAGGAUGAACAGGAUGGCUUAUUUUUUCAUUCAGUUUCCCUAUCUACAAUUUAGCAUUUAAAUUCUGAAUACAUGUAUGUGACCUCUACAAUAGCUGAGUUGUACACAGCAGGAUGGUUGUGCCAUCUAAAGACAACAAGCCAUCUAAAGAUAAAACUGCAGGCCCCAAAACACAGCAUGCUCAAAUUCUUUUUGUUUCUUCUACUUUUGUUUUAGCUUCUGGAGGUACAUGUGCAGGUUUGUUACAUGGGUAAAUUGUUUGUUGCUGGGGCUUGGUAUGCAAAUGAUCCUGUCACUCAGGUAGUCAGCAUAGUACCUGAGAGGUAGCCUUACCAGCCCACAGCCCCCUCCCAUCCUCCUUUCUCAAGCAGUCCCAAAUGUCUAUUGUUCUCAUCUUUGUGUCCAUGUGUUUUCAAUGUUUAGCUCUCACUUAUCAGUGAGAACAUGUGCCAUUUGGUUUUCUGUUCUUUUGUUCAUUCACUUAGGAUAAUGGCCUCUAGCUCUAUCCAUGUUGCUGCAAAGGACACAGUUUUUUUCUUUUUGUGACUGUCUAGUAUUCCAUGGUGUAUGUGUACCACAUUUUCUUUAUCCAGUCCGCCGUUGAUGGACAUCUUUGUUGAUUCCUUGCCUUUGCUGUUGUGAAUAGUGCUACAAUGAACAUACGAGCAUGUGUCUUUUUGGUAGAAUAAUUUAUUUUCCUUUGGGUAUAUACCCAGUAGUGGAAUUGCUGGCUCUCAUAGUAGUUCUUCUUUAAUUUUUUUUUUUUUUUUUUUUUAAGAACUCUUCACACUGCUUUUCGCAGUUGGUUGAACUAAUUUACAUUCUUAUCAGCAGUGUACAAGUGUUCCGUUUUCUCUGCAACCUCACCAGCAUCUGUUGUUUUUUGACUUUUUAGUAAUACCCAUUGUGACUGUCAUGAGAUGGUCUCUCACUGUGGUUUGGAUUUGAAUUUCUCUAAUGAUUAGUGAUGAUGAACAUUUUUUUUCGUAUAUUUGUUGGCUGCAUGUAUGUCUUCUUUUGAGAAGUGACUGUUCAUGUCAUUUGCCAAUUUUUUAAUGUGGUUAUUUGUUUUUUGUUUGUUUAAUUGUUUGCAUUCCUAUAAAUCAAGAAAGAUCUUCCUAAUUUGAAAGUAAACAGUGAUACUAAAAUUUGUAAGCCUAGUCAAAUGUGGGCUAUUCAACAGGUGUGAUGUCCUUCAUAGGUAUUUCUAAGAAAAAGAAAAGGAAAUGGAUAAAUCUGGGCAUGGGAUUCCUUUUGUGGCAGACAGUGUUUAUUGGCUUGCCCAGUACUUAACCUCAACCUUUUCUUCCCUUUCAACCUCAGUUAUAGAGGUUGAAAAUGUAAGAUACUUGUAUUCCCCAGCCCCCUUUACAACUGAAAAAGGCUUUGUGGCUAAUGACAAGUAAGCAGAUAUCUGCUGGGAUCUUUCCUCGUCCUCUGUUCUAUCUGUUCUAAGGAGGACAUGGGCUCUACAGCUGUGUCAGCUGCUUUGUGACCUCAAGAAAAAGGACAAAUGAAUUAGACAACAGUCAUGACAUCACUGAGCUACUGAACCAAUGUUACCAGCUGCUUCAGAUUUUUACUAUGUAAUAAAAAGAAUUCUCCAUUUGCUUAAACCUUUGCUAAUGAGUUUUACUCUUAUGGAUGAAAACAUCCCAAUAUACCUUCCAGACAAGACAAUUCUAUUCUGCGCUUCCACAUCAUGCCUAGUAGCACUCUGAUUCCAAGCGAGAUAAGACUUAUUUUGCUUCAGGCGUCUUAUCCUGCUUUCCAUGAACAAAUACAGUCUCUUCCCAGGGCAUCUUAGCAAAUGGACACAUGUGCUUGCCAAGGUGACUCUGCCAUCCUGUGUGACGGGAGGAGGAGGGGUAAAGUUUGGUUUCAGAAAUAUAAGUUCUCUGCCCUGAGCAGAGAUAGACAGAGUCAUAGAACUUGGCCUGUUCCUUCCUCUGUAUCUCCCUUCCUCCCCUCCCUUUUCUGUAUGACAAGCAGAAAGACAAAGAGCUCAGUGUUUCUCUCUGCCUAAGGAAGUGUGCUCUGUGUGUGUGUGUGUGUGUCUGUGUGUGUGUGUGUGUCUGUGUGCAUGCACGCGUGUGUUUGGGGGUGGUGGAGGUGGUAAUCUCUAUGCUGUCUCAUCUUCAGUAGAGAUAAGACAGGCAGGGAAGGUGGAAGGGAGUCCAGUAACACAAUCAAAAGGAAGGAAACUCUCACUUAAAGUCAGCAGUUAAAAGCAGACUCCACACUUGCUACAAACAGCAGUAGUGAAGGAAAAGGCUCGGUGUAGAAAUAAAUACAGAGUAGCUUAAAUGCCAUGAGGAGGGGGGCAUAAAAAAAUUCAAGAAAAUGUAUAUAGAGUAAUAAUUUGGGGUGGAAAAACAGGUAAUGGUCACAGAAAAGGGAGAAGAAAGUGUGGAAAGAUUAUUCUGAUGAGCUUACUUUCUCUUCUAGCCCUCAGAUUAUAUUAGCCAUGAAAGUAACAGGUCAUGGAAAUGAAAUGUGUACAUGAUGGGUGCAUUAAUUUGCUUCACUACAGUAACCUGUUUACUGUCUAUAUUUAAUUCAUAACAUCAUGUUGUAUGCCUUAAAUAUACAUAAUAACAUUUAUUUUUAAGAAAAGAAAGUACAGAGAAAAAAAAAGAAUGGAAUACACAUGAAUGCCGAACCACAUUGGAUAUGUAGCUGUUCAUGAAGAUAUUCCAGGGAAGGCCUAUCUAGUAGAGCCUCAAAUCUAUUUGAAUACAAAUGGCACUCAUUAAGGACAUCUGUCUUCUGUAAUGUCUACACAAAGUCUUACCGGGGUCUUCUUGGCUCUUAUUGACGGCUGAUGAAGGAGGGGUUUAUAAAGAAAACAAGCCAAAACCUGAAUAACUUGCUACUGAGAGCAGCACACAUAUUUUCCCAAAGUGCAAAGUUGAGAAGAAGUACAAAGCUUUGUUAAUAUUCUGAACAGUACUGCUUAGUAUGAUCUAAUUGAUGGAUUUUCCAUGGACUCCCUAGAGACUGAAAAAGGUUUGACUGUCAGGAAACUUUUCUUGUGUUUAUUCUUCAAUUUUCCUUUUCCUACUUUCCAAUCAUCAUUCCCUAUUAACAUCCCUUGAUGGGUCACCUUAAGUGAUUAUUCUUUUUAAUGGCAUUUAUAACGUUUAAUAUUUCCCUGUUAAUUUCUAUUCCGACAAAGUACAUAUUUUUUUAAUCUUCACUCAUAACAUUAAUAAAUUUUUCCAACAUUUUAAAGCUCAGUUAACAUUUCCUUAUAUAUGCCUCUGUCUUUAAAAUAUGAGAUCUGAAUGUACUGGUAUCACUAGAAUUAUCUACAGAGUUCUAAUGUGAUGGAAAUUGUGCUACAAAAAUUUGUUCUUACAUAAUUUGCUUCAACGGAAUUCCUCCUGAACUAAAUACUUAGUCUUUACAUUCUUUAAAAUAACUAAAAUUUCCCAGAGGAAAGUCUGAAUUGUUCAUUUAACCUUGUGUGAUGUGUGCUGUGUGUAGCUGAAACAGCAAAGUGGACACACCUGCACCCUUAACAUUUUUGACUUUUUUUUUUUUUUUUUUAAAGAAUCAAGUUUCGUUUUUGUCACCCAAGCUGGAGUGCAGUGGUACAAUCUCCGGUCACUGCAACCUCCGCCUCCCGGGUUCAAGCGACUCUCCUGCCUCAGCCUCCCAAGUGGCUGGGAUUACAUGUGUGCACCACAAAGCCUGGGUAUUUUUUUUUUUUCAUUUUUAGUAGAGACGUGGUUUCACUAUGUUGGGCAGGCUGGUCUUGAACUCCUGAACUCAGGUGAUCCUUCCCCGCUAGGCCUCCCAAAGUGCUGGAAUUUCAGGCCUGAGCCACAGCACCUGGCCAACUGUGACUCAUUUUUAAAGCGGUUUGGCAAUAAUGCUAUAUACGUAUAAUGGUUUUGAAUAAAAUAUACAACUAUACAUGGCCUGUUAUCUUCUUAUUUUAGACAGAAUAAUCUUAGUCUUGUACUUUCAUGUAUUAGGCUGAUAGCCAUGAGAUUUGGGGAGGAAAAAAAUAGGAUAAAAUAGGACUCACUCAUUUCAAGAAAUAGAGUUAGUUUUCUAUGCAAGCAUUUUCUCCCCUUCUCCUUAGCCCACCAAAGUGGUAAAUGAGACUUCCAGCCAUGAGGCUGUUUGCACCUCUGUCUGGGAGGAGACUUCUGGAGCUUUGGUUGCUGCUAAUGACUUGGAGGGGCUUUGAAGGCCCCCUUGAAGAUGUCACGCAUGACCUCUGGACCCUUGGUAUCUUUCAAGAAUCCUUAUGAGAUACUAACUCAUUUCGUUUAUAAUAGGUGAAAACAGAUCAUGUAUUUUUAAACCAGAUAAUGCCUAAGUUAUAUUACUCUAGAAUUCAUAGAAAAAAUAAAAUAGCCGAGAUCUUUAAAAAGACUGUAAUGUGGUAUUAGUGGACUGUCUUUUUUUUUGUUUAUGGAGAGAAAAAAAUUAUUUGUAAGUUUUUUUUUAAUUUAUUAUUGUUAUACUUUAAGUUUUAGGGUACA